GGCUGGUCUGAAGGUAGUGAGUUAUGUCGAUUGUUCACAGUCAGUACAGAUUGACCUCCUUGUUCUACUCUUUCCCCCUUCUCACUACUGCACUUGACUAGUCUAAA
Cavia aperea (Brazilian guinea pig) is the source of this 107-nucleotide unclassified non-coding RNA. It matches the Rfam family "Y RNA". From Rfam's summary of the family: Y RNAs are components of the Ro ribonucleoprotein particle (Ro RNP), in association with Ro60 and La proteins. The Y RNAs and Ro60 and La proteins are well conserved, but the function of the Ro RNP is not known. The record is from Ensembl. NCBI's taxonomy places the organism in Eukaryota, Metazoa, Chordata, Mammalia, Rodentia, Caviidae.